This is a long non-coding RNA of Olea europaea var. sylvestris, 544 nucleotides long. RefSeq lists it as uncharacterized. NCBI's taxonomy places the organism in Eukaryota, Viridiplantae, Streptophyta, Magnoliopsida, Lamiales, Oleaceae. The record is from RefSeq and is a predicted model, not a curated record. The transcript is spliced from 2 exons.
UUAGAUGCAUAGUUUUUUCCGCCACAACUUUACUCUGUCACUCUGUUAUUUCAAUUCAUUUUCAAUGUUUCUUCCAACAACACCCUAUUUUCCUCCGAUCAUCCAGCUCAUCAUUUACUCUCUACUUCAGCCCCAUCUUGUACAAUUCCACCACCAUCAAUUCAUCCUUAUCCUUUUUUACUCUCUUACCCUCCCCAUCAACUGUGCCAACACUCAUGUCAUUUGUACAACUGCUUCUUGCCCUAAUCUUUGGCACAUCCAAUUUUCUAGCACCCCAGUAUCGUCCUUUUCACUGUUCAACCUCUCGGGCGUAUUUGACCUGGAGUUGCAAACCUCCUAUUCGACUCGAAAUCCAACCUGAAUGGUUCUGUUCACUUCGAUCUUCAACUUCUAGGAGGUCAUUGGUCGGAAUUUAAUGAAGGCCUCCAUUAUAGGGAAUUUCUUUGAUCACCUGAUUAUUGUACAAGUUUUAACAUAUUGUGUGCAUUUGUAAAUAUUGUAUAUUUAUUUAUUUAGUGGAAAUUGGGUCAAAUAGCUUUUCUCA